This 433-nucleotide ribosomal RNA is filed under the name uncultured bacterium. RNAcentral describes it as "partial 16S ribosomal RNA". It matches the Rfam family "Bacterial small subunit ribosomal RNA", at positions 29 to 507 of the family's 1533-position model. The record is from RNAcentral.
AACGAACGCUGGCGGCAUGCCUAACACAUGCAAGUCGAACGAGACCUUCGGGUCUAGUGGCGCACGGGUGCGUAACGCGUGGGAACCUGCCCUUAGGUUCGGAAUAACUCCCCGAAAGGGGUGCUAAUACCGGAUAAUGUCUUCGGACCAAAGAUUUAUCGCCUUUGGAUGGUCCCGCGUUGGAUUAGCUAGUUGGUAGGGUAAAAGCCUACCACGGCGACGAUCCAUAGCUGGUCUGAGAGGAUGAUCAGCCACACUGGGACUGAGACACGGCCCAGACUCCUACGGGAGGCAGCAGUGGGGAAUAGUGGACAAUGGGCGAAAGCCUGAUCCAGCAAUGCCGCGUGAGUGAUGAAGGCCUUAGGGUUGUAAAGCUCUUUUACCCGGGAUGAUAAUGACAGUACCGGGAGAAUAAGCUCCGGCUAACUCCGUG